This 233-nucleotide unclassified non-coding RNA is filed under the name Hevea brasiliensis (rubber tree). The record is from RNAcentral. Lineage: Eukaryota; Viridiplantae; Streptophyta; Magnoliopsida; Malpighiales; Euphorbiaceae.
CUGAGAAUGUGUUCCUCAGAUUCAAUCACGUUGGGGCCCGCUAAUAAGAAAAAUGGUUCCGCUGCCUUGAGCUGGUUAAAUAGCAGCGUUGAGGAAUCCAUCUCUCGCAGUUAGCCAAAAGCCAAAGAUUGUGCAGCAGCUUCUUUUCUGGAUCAGAUUGAGCUCCUUUUGGACCCCUACAAGCAACCAAAACGCAACUACUGCUCAAAUCAAUCUCAGGCGUUUUGGUUAGC